AGCUUUAUAGUUGAAUUGGAUAAUAUUUAGUUGCAGGCUAAAAGGUGUAGAGGUAUUACUAAGGUUU
RNAcentral lists this transfer RNA (67 nucleotides) under Gononemertes parasita. RNAcentral's name for it is "tRNA-Cys". The record is from RNAcentral. Lineage: Eukaryota; Metazoa; Nemertea; Enopla; Monostilifera; Prosorhochmidae.